UACGGGGGGGGCAAGCGUUGUUCGGAAUUACUGGGCGUAAAGGGCUCGUAGGCGGCCAACUAAGUCAGACGUGAAAUCCCUCGGCUUAACCGGGGAACUGCGUCUGAUACUGGAUGGCUUGAGGUUGGGAGAGGGAUGCGGAAUUCCUGGUGUAGCGGUGAAAUGCGCAGAUAUCAGGAGGAACACCGGUGGCGAAGGCGGGUCUCUGGGCCACUACUGACGCUGAGAAGCGAAAGCAUGGGGAGCGAACAGG
This 253-nucleotide ribosomal RNA is filed under the name uncultured bacterium. RNAcentral's name for it is "partial 16S ribosomal RNA". It matches the Rfam family "Bacterial small subunit ribosomal RNA", at positions 524 to 776 of the family's 1533-position model. The record is from RNAcentral.